AGUGAAAACAGAGAGAUGAUGAUGAUGGAGUGGAAAUGGUUAAGGCUUAUUAGGAUGGCAGUAAUGUUGUUGGUGUUAGAAGGAUGCAGAUGGUGUACUACUGAUGCUUGUUUGGAGCAUGAGAGAAUCGCUCUCUUGCAUCUCAAGCCUUUCUUCAAUUAUGGUAAUCAAUUGCAAAGUUGGGUUGAGGUGAAGGGUUUAGAUUGUUGUAAAUGGAAAAGAGUUGAGUGUAACACCACCACUAGGAGACUCAUAAAACUCUCCCUUAAUUCUACAAGAUGGUUUGACAAUAUGGGAUACGACAUGGAUAAUGGGAAUCUCAAUGCCUGGUAUCUCAAUACCUCUAUGUUUCUUCCCUUUGAGGAAUUGAAGAGUCUUUAUUUGUCAGGAAACGCCAUAGGUGGUGACCUUGAAAAUGAAGGUCGUGCCUUUAACUUUCCAUUAAUUACAUCUUUUAUUAUUCCACUACUCUCACCAUUGUUAAUUUGCAAUUACUUAUAUUUUAUUUUAUUUUAUUGAAGAAAAGUCACUAACUGCUUGUAUAUAUUUAAAAGAACACUUCUACAGGCUUUGGAAAACUAUCAUCCACAUUGAGUAAUUUGGAGAUCCUUGACUUAAGUUACAAUUACUUGAAUGAUAGCAUUUUGUUAUCUUUGAGUGAGCUUUCCUCUCUCCGGUAUUUAGACCUAUCAUACAACCAAUUUGAAGGAUCAAGUCAUCCAAGAGGUAAAUUAAAUUUGGUCUGGUGUAAGUUUUUAUUUGUAUAGUAGAGUUUGAGGAUGGUCUUCUAGGCUUGGUACCUAGUUUUCCAUUCUUUUUAUCCGUUCUAAUUCCACUUUUGCUUUAGUAAAAUUUUCAUAUAGCUAAGAAAUAAAAAAACAAUUAACAAGUAAUUAUGUAUAUAUAUCAGGUUUUCAAUUGCUUUCAAGACUCAAUAACUUGGAAACUCUUGAUUUAAGUUGGAAUUCUUUGAAGAAUAGCAUUUUGUUCCAUAUGAGAAAUCUUUCAUCCUUGAAGACUUUAAGAUUGAGUGGUAAUCAGUUGAAAGGAAGGCUGGAUCAUAUUCAAGGUAGACUGAUUUUACCUGUUUCUUUUCAACUUUAAAAAUCAAUGUAUAUUCAAGUUUGAUUUCAUCAUACGAUGAAUAUAUAACUAAUCAAUAUUUGGGAUUGAAUUUUAUGAUUGAAUAAUUUGACAAACUUGAAAUACUUGGAUUUAAGUGACAACAGCAUUGAAAGCAUCUCAAACCAAGGUAUAAGUACAGUAUUUAUAUGUCAAUACCCAAAAUUAAAAUUUUAAGACGUUACAUGUAUGUUUGAUAAAAAAAAUUAAUUGAUCAUUCUGUUAAAAAUUAUAUUCAUUUCUGUUGAAAAAUUUAGAGUUGUUGCGAUGUGUGUGAGGAAGUGCCCACAUCCUUUACCAUUGCGGCACAUAGGCACAUUAAACAACUUCCCACAUUUAGGAGUUUGGCAAUUUAUUGAACCAUAUCUUUGGGUUGAGUUGAUAUCGUGGGUUAUAUCAAGUCCAUCAAUGAAUAUCAUAGUACUUGGAGAAACUUAUUUGAAGGAUCAAGUUAAAUAGGAUCGGAUCAAGCCUAUCUAAUCCCUUAGAUUGAGGAAGUUGGAUCAGAUCGAAACAUUAAUACCUUAUUUGCCAACAGCUCAUAUUGCCUUAGUUGUUAUUAUUAUAUUGUAUUCAACUAUUUUAGCUAUCUUUUAGAAGGGAUUGUGAAUGAUCUUCAUUAGGUUAGCAAAUCUUAAAAUCUUUAUAUAAUUAAGAGACUUGUAUAGGCUCUUGUAUUAAUCAUUGAGAGCACUUAAUCUGAUCGAGGAACAUUAUUUAUGUGAGUAAAUAUAGGGAUUAAAACUAUAAUUUCAUCUAUAAUAAUUUCUCAGGCAUUAAAUGUGAGAUUAUUUACACAACCUAAAUUAUUAGGGGGCCUAUAUAAGAUCAAGGUUGACGCAGAAGUCAAUAGUCAACAUUUGAAAGUUAAUGCAAUGAAUUAUGUGAUUGUUGAUAUAUGUAAUAAUAUUUUCUUAACAAUUUCCUCGAACUACUUCGUAGAUGGUGCUAUAUUACAACAUAAUGGGUCACCAAAUGUAUAUAAUUGAGAUUUUUAAGCAAAUAUUAUAUUUUAUCUUUAUCCUUAAAUCAUGAAUAGUAUAGUAAUUGGACUAAUUAAUAUUUAGUACACAGUAGGUGGAGUUUUUAAACUCUAUAAGAAGGAUCAGAGGAGUGAGACAUGUCUUGUAGAGGUGUAGUAUAUAAUGUUAAAAAAUGAAUAUUAAAAAAAGAAGAAGACACAUACCAAUUUUUUAAUGUUAUUUAUGGAAUGUUCUUGAGUUGUGGUUCACAUAACGAAAUUAUUAUAUAAAGGUUAAAUUCUACCAUAUAGUUUUUGUACUUUAUUGAAGUUGUAGAUUUAAUUCCUAGACUUUAAUUUGAUAUUUUAGAUCUUAUGCUUUUUGAAAUUUUAAAAUUUCAAUCCUCACUAAAUGAUAUUUUGUAAAUUCCUUAAGUUCUACUAUCUCCAAGAUUUGGUGUGACAAACAUAUUAUCAUAUGUCUAAUGUUAUGCCCACUUGUUAUUUUUACAUAUUACUCACUAAAAAUCUAGUUAAUAUAAGUUUUGUACAUAUAAGUCGAUUCGCUAUCAAUUUUCAGAUGUUAAUAUCAAGUUCAACAUUUCCAAACCUAAAGUAAUAUUUCAAGACUUUAUUUUUCCAUAAAACUAAUUUUUUUACAUUGGAAACUUUAAUUUUUUUCGACUAUUAGUUAAGAGCGGCUUUUUAAAAUAACCCAAUUUAAUUAAUUAAUUGUAAAAAUAUUCAAGUAAAAUUUUAAGUCAUAUAAAAAAAAUCGAUGUCUUUUUCAAAUUUUGAAUUAAAUGAAUUUAAGGGUUUGGAGAGGUUUAUGUAGAGGUAGCAAAUCCUGAACUGUCCGAUGAAUUUUGAAACGAUCUACUUAGAAUGGAGUGGAUUUUUUUUUAGAAAAGUGGAAGCAAGGUGGGAUGGGUGGAUUUUUUUUUCCAUUGGACAAUGACUAUGGAGCCGUUACGGUAAUUCCUUGUUCCAUCCCAUCCCACUCUACUAUAUAAAAUUACAAUUUCAUCCUUCUAUAUAUAUAAAUAUUAAAAAAAGUAAAAAUGUAUUAUAAAAUAAAUUCAUAUAUUUUAUGUUUAAAUAUUUUUCUAAAAAAAUAUGCUUAAAUAUUUAAUUGGUUUUUAAAAUAUUAAAAAGAAAGUAGUAAAAAUUAUAUAAUCAUAUUUGGUUUAAACUUACAAAAUCUUCCGGGCAAAAAAAAAAACUUUCAAAACCUAAAAUUUCCAUUAAUAAAACCAAAAUCAAAGAAGUAAAAUUUCCAUGAAUAAAAAUUUCCAUGAAUAAAACAAAAAAUGAAGACCUGAAUUUUCCGUUAAUAAAGCCAAGUCAAGAUUAACUUUGUAUAAGUGUAAGAAGGGUAUAAAUGAAACUCACAAGAAAACCACAUGAAGAAUUUUAUAACUCCAACUACAUGAUUUAAUGUCCACCUCUCACUUUUCAUAUUUUUUUGGCCAUUCGUUUUUCAAGAUUAACAUCAACAUUAGAUUUAAAAUCAACGUUGAGCCAUGCUUAAAUUCUUUAAUAGAAUGUUAAGACUUAUUUUUAUGAGUGAUAAACUUAAAUGACUUAAAACUUAUCAUUCUUGUCAUCCCAUCUUGUCUCCAUGAAGAAAUUUUAAAAUAAAUUUAGCAUUGAAUGCCAAAGUCAAGGGUUGAUAAGCAUUCUUGCAGUCCUUUCAUCAUUUCCUAAUGAAUUUCCACCUAGAGUUUUUGCAAUAAGGAAUUUAUGUAAAUAAGAAGCCUAGAUUGAUCCAAUUUUUGAGGAAUUAAUUAAUUAUAUAUUAUUUUUAUAUUAUAGUGAAUUAGUGGGAUGCAGUAUGUUCUGCUUGUAUAUAAAUAAGAAGCUUAGGCUUCUUUAGAUUAUAUACAUAUAGAAGUUAAAAAAAAGUAACAUAUAGCUGAGAGAGAAGUGAAAACAGAAAGAUGAUGAUGAUGAUGGAGUGGAAAUGGUACUUAUGGUUUAUUAGGAUGGCAGUAAUGUUGUUGGUGUUAGAAAGAUGCAGUUGGUGUACUACUGAUGCUUGUUUGGAGCAUGAGAGAAUCGCUCUCUUGCAUCUCAAGCCUUUCUUCAAUUAUGGUAAUCAAUUGCAAAGUUGGGUUGAGGUGAAGGGUUCAGAUUGUUGUAAAUGGGAAAGAGUUGAGUGUAACACCACCACUAGGAGACUCAUACAACUCUCCCUUAAUUCUACAAUAUGGUUAUACAAUAUGGAAUACGACAUGGAUAAUAGGAAUCUCAAUGCCUGGUAUCUCAAUGCCUCUAUGUUUCUUCCCUUUGAGGAAUUGAAGAGACUUUAUUUGUCGGGAAAUGCCAUGGGUGGUAACCUUGAAAAUGAAGGUCGUGCCUUUAAUUUUUCCUUAAUUACAUCUUUUACUAUUCCACUAUUCUCACCAUUGAUAAUUUACAAUUACUUAUAUUUUAUUGAAGAAAAGUUACUAACUGCUUGUAUAUAUUUAAAAGAACACUUCUACAGGCUUUGGAAAACUAUCAUCCACAUUGAGUAAUUUGGAGAUCCUUGACUUAAGUGAAAACUACUUGAAUGACAGCAUUUUGUUAUCUUUAAGUGAGCUUUCAUCUCUCCGGUAUUUAAAUUUAUCAAGCAACAAAUUUGAAGGAUCAGGUCAUCUAAGAGGUAAAUUAAGUUUGGUCUAGUGUUAGUUUUUAUUUGUAUAGUGGAGUUUGAGGAUGGUCUUCUAGGCUUGGUACCUAGUUUUCCAUUCUUUUUAUCCGUUGUAAUUCUACUUUUGCUUUAGUAAAAUUUUCAUAUAGCUAAGAAAGAAAGAAAAAAUUAACAAGUAAUUAUGUAUAUAUAUCAGGUUUUCAAUUGCUUUCAAGACUCAACAACUUGGAAACUCUUGAUUUAAGUUGGAAUUCUUUGAAGAAUAGCAUUUUGUUCCAUAUGAGAAAUCUUUCAUCCUUGAAGACUUUAAGAUUGAGACGUAAUCAGUUGAAAGGAAGGCUGGAUCAUAUUCAAGGUAAACUGAUUUUACCUGUUUCUUUUCAACUUUAAAAAUCAAUGUAUAUUCAAGUUUGAUUUCAUCAUACGAUGAAUAUAUAACUAAUCAAUAUUUGGGAUUGAAUUUUAGGGUUGAAUAAUUUGACAAACUUGAAAUACUUGGAUUUAAGUGACAACAACAUUGAAAGCAUCUCAAACCAAGGUAUAAGUACAGUAUUUAUAUGUCAAUUCAUAUUAAAGGUAGACUGGUUUUAUAUGUUUUUUUUACUUUAAAACCAAUUUUUGUUUAAGGGACAGUUAAUGUUGCAAUAUUUCAAAAUAGAGUAAAUUAAGUAGGAAGGUAUCUCAAACAAAGUAUUUAUAUAUUGAAUCAAUUAAGUUUUACUUGUAAAAUGUAGUUAUCAAUUCAUGGGAAAGCUUGUAAAUUGGCUCUUCCUUCUCAAACAAACAUUUUUCCUAGCUAUUUAUAUAUUGAAUGAUAUUAACUAUACUAAUUAUUUUCUUCCAAUGAUAGAUGGAACACAAUGGAGGCUAACAAACUUAGAGGAACUUGAUUUAAGUAAUAAUCUCUUUCGGAACAACACAAUUUCCUUUCCUCAGGGGCUUUCAAGCCUAAAGUCUUUGACUUUGUACAACAACCGUCUGCAAGGCUCAUUAGAUACUAAAGGUACUAAAGCUAUAACUUUGUUUUUCUUGAUAAUUCUUUCUAGAACAUUUUAAAAUUAAUUGUUUCAAAUUUGAGCAUUCAGAUUUCACGUUUGAGGUUUUUCAUCUUCACUUCAAGUUUUAGAUAUACUUUUUUUUAUUUCAUUAAAAUAUUAAGUAGAAAUUAAAAUUAUUAACAUAAUGAUUUUUUGAAUUGGACAUGGAUAUGUAUAGGAUUGAGCAAUUUAACAAAUUUGAAGAAACUCGAUUUACGUUGGAAUCAAAUUGAAAGCUUUCAAUCCUUUAAAGGUAUGCAUUUAUAUUUAACCAAUUACCUAAAUUCUUACAUAUAAUUAAAUUUUAUGCCAAUUCAUUUUAGUGAUGAAAUUAUAUAAAUCUUUUGUAGAUGGUGGUAGAAAAUUGGAGUCGACCCACUUGGAAGAGCUUAAUUUAGAUUACAAUCUCUUCAAUACUAGUGUAUUUGCAUCCCUUAACAAGCUUUCAAAUUUGAAAUCUUUGAGCAUAAGGUUCAAUGGAUUGAAAGGAUCAAUAGAUAUGAAAGGUAAAAAUAUUAGUUUUUUAACAAGGAUAUAAUAAUGUUUUAAGAGAAUAUAAUGAAGUUGAUUUGUUAAUUUUGUUUUCCUAGAUUUGGAUGCAUUUAUCAAGUUAAGGGAACUAGAUUUGAGCGACAAUGAAUUGAAAGAUUUGGUGAUCCACCAAGGUAUCAUUUAAUUAAACUUCUUUUUUUUUCUAAUUUAGAAAUUUAGUUUUGAUCUCAUAUAUUAUAAUAACGGUUAUUAUCAUAUAUAUUAAUAAAGUUAUAUCAUAUCAUACUUGAAAGUAAAAUAUGAGUUUGGUGAAACAUUUUCUAAAUCCUCCAUUAUAAUGUGUUUCAACUUUAGUUUGAAAUUAAAAUUCUUUAAAAUUUUCUUAAUUUUAAAAUAUUAAUGUUUAUAAUUAUUUUGUUUGUAAAAAUAUAUUUUUUAAAAUAAUUUAUUUAAUUUUUAUGAGAUAAAAAAUAAUUAUAACAAUAAAAACAAUGAUAUUACAAAUAAAUAAAAACAUAUAUUUAUGAGAAAAUAUGUAAUAUAACUAUAUUUUAAUUUCAUAUUUUUUUAAUAGUAUAAAACAUAAAAAUACAUAUUAGAGUUACAUAAAUCACAUUUUUUUUGGCCAAAAAUAAAUAAAUAUGAAUUUUGAAUAAUUUAAAAAAAUCUUCAAUUUUAUGAAAUUUAAACAUACACUUAGAGGUGCUUAAACUUCCAUCGCAAACUUUUUAUAAAUUUGUAAUUUAAUUCUUAUACUUUUAUUUUUAGGAAUUUAGUCCCUCUAUUUUAAAAAAAAAUUUCAAAAUCCAAGUUCAAUAGUUAAAAUUAUUAAUUUUUUUUUUAAAAAUAAUUAGUUGGUGUGACAUUUUGAAAUUAAAAAAACUUUGGUAACAAUGUAACUAAAAAAUGACAUAAUGAAAAUGGAUUUAAUAAAAUAAUUUUAACAGUAUUAAUAAUUAGACUUGAAUUUUAAAAUUGAGUAAAAUAAAUGGCAUAAAACAUAAAAAUACACAUUAGAGUUAAUUAAAUGGCAUUUUUUGGCCAAAAAUAAAUAAAUGUCAAUUUUGAAUAAUUUAAAAAAAACUUCAAUUUUAUGAAAUUUAAACAUACAUUUUGAGGUGCUUAAAAUUUUUUUUCCAAACUUUUUAUAAAUUUCAAAAUGCACAUGUUAUUAACUUAAAAAUAUGCACAUUAGAUUUAAAUUAAAAUAAUAUUUUUUUAGUUUAAAAUUUUCUAUUUUAUAAUAGAACCAUGAUUUAAAUAAAUGAGAUUUUGAAGAAUUGCCAAAAAAAACUAUGUAGGUGAAAUUUAAAUAGAGAAUUUGAGAAGCUGAAAGUCUCUUUCGGAAUUUAUAAAUUUUAAAAUUCAAAAGGAUGUAUUUUGACAAUUUUAGGGCAAUGAUUGAGUGCUUUAAAAUUUUGAUUUAAUAUGGAGAAUUUAAUUAAAAAAUUUAUUUAUUAGAUUGUAAAAUAUUUCUUAACAUUUAUAAUUGAGUACAAAGUAAAUUAAGUUUAAGGGAAAAUAUUUGGUAAAAUUAUUUUCUUUUAUCAAAUUUUUUUUAAAAAAAAUCUGGUUUUUUUUAAAAAAAUUGGGGUGGUACUAUUAAUGAAAUUCUAAACUUCAUAAGUAGGAUUGAGAUAAUAACAAAUAUAUUAUAUGGUAUAAUAAAAUAUUAAAAAAAAGAAAUAUUUAAAAGAAAUAGGUUACUGGCCAUUUUUUAACUUCACUUGUAGAGUUAAAAAACUCCAUUACUAGUACCAAAUACUAAUAUUAAGGAAUUAAAUGCUAAAUUAAUUUCAAACAUAUUUAAAUCUGAUAUGAAUCAAGAAAAAAUUUAUUUUGAAAUUAUAUUUUAUCUUAGAAUGCUAAAAGAAGAAAAAAAAAAAAGGGAUUAGUUUAAUUAAUAAAAUGAAUAAAUAGUUAUGUUAAGAUUUGGACAUUCUCUAUUAAAAUUUUAUUUUAUUGAUGAAAAUAAAUAUUUAUAUAUUUCUUUCACUUACAGAAAAUAAGGGAUUGAGAAAUUUGAAAGUUUUGUUUCUUUAUCACGCUUUCACCGAUGGAAGCAUUCCAUUACAAAAUUUAGUGGAGUCUUUCUCAUCAGUUAAAGCCUUUCAUCUACAAUACAAUUAUCUGAACAUGACUCUGGCUACUCAAGGUAAGUGAAAGUCAUUAUUUUCUUUUCCAAAACAGCUUACGUUUGAUUAACAUCUAAUACCUCUUCUCAUCCUUUAGAAUUAAAUGUGUCGAGCAGUUUGGAGGAAAUAUAUCUUGACUAUUCUACUCUCAACACCAACAUUUUGCAAAGCAUUGGAGUAUUCGCUUCUCUUAAAACAUUGUCUUUACAUGAUUGUGGACUUAUCGGUCCCUUACCUAAUCAUGGUAAAUAAAUUUAUGGGUCAAAUUGACUUCUUUAUGAGCCUUCUGGGAUAUAAUAUCUCCUAUUAUGUUUAAUAGGAUCAAAUUUAAUUAAAAUUUCUUCAAUGAAUUUAUAAAUUUUUCAGGAUGGUGUGAUCUAAGGAACCUUGAAGUGUUGGAUGUGAGUGGGAAUGCACUUGAGGGGAUGCUUCCUCAUUGUUUCAGUAACUUGACAUCUCUUCGUGAGUUAGAUAUUUCAGCAAACCGUUUUCAAAUUCCACUAUCAUUCGCACCAUUUGCAAACCUUUCAAACCUCAAAGUCCUUUCCGGUGAUGAAAACAAGAUGGUAAUGGAACCUUCCUUUUAUACCUCAGUCCCAAAGUUUCAAUUGACCAGCAUCAGUUUGUCAAAGUGCAUUACAUCUCAACAACUCAAUCUUGAACUUCCUACCUUCCUUUACUACCAAUAUGACUUGAGAUAUGUGGAUCUUUCUCAUAACAAUUUCAGCGGAACAGUCCCAACUUGGUUGUUAGAAAACAACACAAAGUUAGAAGUUCUCAUCUUGAUGGGUAAUUCCUUUACUGGUCCUCUCUCAUUUUCGUCAGCUCUUAUUUCUAAUGUAUCUUCAAUUGACAUAUCUGAAAACAAAUUACAAGGUCAAAUUCCGACUACUAUAUGUUCAACUUUUCCACAUUUGUGGCGGUUAUUCUUAUCCAAGCAUGCUUUUGAAGGUAAUAUCCCACUUUGUUUAAGUGUCAUGAAGUACUUAUCAUUUUUAGAUCUAUCAAACAAUCAAUUGUAUGGAAAAGUACCAGAAGAGUUGAUCGCGAAAGGCUCACUGACCAUUUUGAGACUAUCAAAUAACAAGCUCAGUGGAAAUGUAGUUCCUGUGGUUCUCAACUCAAAUGGGGUGCAGAAUUUAUAUUUGGAUGGAAACAAUUUUUCAGGAGAGAUGACAAAUGUUGAUUUGUCUACUUUUGAGUUUCCAAAUUCAAUAAGGGAAAUUGAUCUUAGUAACAACAAGUUGCAUGGAAAGCUCCCAAGAUGGAUAGGGAAUGCAUCGUUUUUGGAGAGAUUAGCUUUGUCCAACAGCGGUUUCGAGGGUUCUAUUCCAAUGGAAUUUUGCAAGUUGAAUAGGUUGGAAUUUUUGGAUCUUUCCCAAAAUCAUUUAUCUGGAUCUAUACCGUCAUGUUUUAAUCCACCAAACAUAGAGCAUGUCCACCUCCACGGGAAUAGACUGAGAGGUCCACUAUCACUUGCUUUUUAUAAUAGCUCCUCUCUAGUGACUUUAGAUCUUAGAGGAAACAAUUUGACAGGUAAUAUUCCAAAAUGGAUUGACACACUUUCUUCUUUGAGUGUUCUUCUCUUGAAAGAUAAUCAUUUUCACGGUAAAGUUCCAAUUCAGUUAUGCAAGUUGCAUUCUUUAAGCAUCAUAGAUCUUUCUCAAAAUAUGUUUUCUGGUCCUAUACCUUCUUGUUUGGGAAAUUUAUCUCUUCCAAUGCAAACGAAGAAGAUUCUAGACAUUGGGAUCUAUAGGCAAUCUACAGAAGAGGAUGAAUCAACACGCAUUAUGAUAGCAAAUCUGGGACCGGAUUCUUACUACCCUUACAGCUACUUUGAAGAAGUAAUAGAGUUCACAACAAAGAGUGGGUUCUAUUCGUACAAGGGCGACAUCCUUUCAUAUAUGACUGGGAUUGAUUUAUCUUGCAACAACUUAACUGGUCAUAUCCCACCAGAAUUAGGGAACUUGAGUGAAAUCCAUUCUUUAAACCUUUCACACAAUAAGUUGACCGGAGUUAUACCCUCGUCAUUCUCAAAACUUCAUCAAAUUGAGAGUUUGGACCUUUCUUACAACAACUUGAGUGGUGAAAUCCCCAAUCAAUUGGUAGAGUUGAACUCUUUGGAGGUUUUCAGCGUGGCAUUUAACAACUUGUCAGGUAGUAUUCCCGAACCAAAAGCUCAAUUUGGGACCUUUAUUGAAAAUAGUUAUGAGGGAAAUCCGUUUCUUUGUGGAGUUAUAUUGCAUAAAAGUUGUUCCAAAACCGAUUCACCAUCAACUAUAUCAACUGUAUCAGAAGAUAAAAGGAGAAGAUGGUUUGAUAGAUACUUAUGAUUUUUGUGUGAGCUUUUUGGUUUCUUAUGUAGUUGUGUUGUUGACAAUUUUUGUUGUCCUCUACAUAAAUCCAUAUUGGCGAAGAGCUUGGUUUUCUCUAGUUGGGAAAUGCAUUACCACCUGUCACUACUCAAAUGUGGGCAAUUCUUACUUAUCACAUUUUCAAGCGAUGUGUUUAGCUACUCAAAUUGCGAUUUGAUUUCCACACCUAAAUGUUUAAUUAUGCUAAGUUGAGCGAUAAUGAAUAUUUUGUUGAUUUUUGCAUUUUGAAUAAAAGCUCUUUUACCUUAUGGUUUUAUCAUUUUCAACCAACUAUUUCUUUUUUCUUCUAUGAAAUUUAAUGUAAAAUCAUAAUCCAUUAUUAUGUAUAUGUAAUAUCUCUUUAAAUUAAAUUAAAUUAAAUUAACUGCCAAGCGUUCACUAGUGCAUACUAAAAAGGAAAUCUAAUGUAAAAUUAAAUAACAUACUAGAAAAUUGAAUCUAAAACUGGAAUAUUUUAAAACCUCACAAACAAUGCAAUUCUUUAUUCCUCUUUUCCUCUCAAGUUAUUUUGUAUCAUGUUAUAUUUUACAUAAUUAUUCGUAUCAUCAAUUUUUUUAAAAAAAAUUAAUAUUUUGAUAUCACGUUCAUAUUAUGCUUUAAUUCACAAUGUAUUUUGUACAAUAUGUUUGUAAUACCCAAUUUUGUCCGGCCCAUUAAAACCCAAUUUGAAAUAAAACUAAGUCGGAGUCCAUAUUACAGCCCAAAUUCGGCCUAAUAAGGCCCAAAUUGCUAGCCCUAGCCUGUUAGCCCAAAAGAACACAGGGUAUAGCAGAUUGAAGCAAAUCGGUGCCGCAGCAACUGCCCACGACAUGGCAACGGUUUCCACCCACGUUCAGCAAUUCCCCACACCCACCAUGCACGUUCUUCACCUGCAACAAACCAUAAACAGCAUUAUAGGAUCGAAUAUACAGCAAAAAAAAGGGGGGAAAUUUUAGUUGGUGCUUUCCGGUAAAUAUCGGCUAUAAAAGUCAAUCGAUUUUUGUAAGAAGGGGGUUACACACAUAUAUUGAAAAAUACUGAAAUACGAAAGAAAAGAAUUAGAAAAAAACAAAUUUUGGAAGGUGAUUUUUGUUCUUUCCACGUCUUUUUACUUUUUUCUGUUUUUUUGUCUCAUCUUUUUCUUUUGUAUUUUACUUCAUUUUUUUUAAAAUAAAACGAAAAGUAAAAGAAAGGGAGGAGAUUCUUACCAGCAGAGGCGCGCCGUCAGCAUAGUUUUCUUCGCUUUGUCCAAAUCGAAGUUAAAAGGGGAGGGGGUUUUGGCGUGAAGAGUUGGGAAGAAGAUGAAACAGUUUUUAAAGCUAUUGCUGCUGCAGAAUAGCGUUUAAAUUUGAGAUUGAAAAGGGUUUUAAGUACUGAUGGGUUAUUUACGCUUUUAAUCCUUCCAUUUUAUCCCACCAUUUCAAAAUUAUUGUUGUUUGUUUUCAAAUUUUUCCAUGAAACAUUAUUAAUGUUUUGAUUUAAUACAAUGUUGUGCAAUGCUUUGGGUGGUUUGGGUAAAUUAUUCUUUUAGUCCUCUUUCUGUUACACGUGUUUUAAUUUACUCCCUUCCUUGUUUUUAUUUUCAAAUUUAGCUCUCAACUUCUGUUUGGAAUUUUAAUUUAGUCCUUAAUUUGUUUUUUUAGUUUAUUUUUAUUAUAUUGUUUAUAUUGUUUAUUAUUAUAAUUAUUAUAUUAUUAUUAUUGUAUUUAUAUGUGUGCGCCUAUAUAUAUAUUAAUAUACAUAUAUAUUAUAAAUGUUUUAACUAUAUAGGUAGUACGUAUAUAUAUUUUAUUUUUAUAGUUCGUACAUAUUUUAUAUACAUUCAUUUUUUUAUAUAAUAAUAUUUAUGUUUUCAUGUUUUAUAAUUCAUAUGUAUAUACAUUUUAUAAUAUGUACAUAUAUUUUUGCAUUCUUUUCAAGGCUUUUAUAAACAUUUUCCAUGUUUUUAUAUUUACUAAUACAUUUAAAAAAAAACAUGUAUUAAUAUAUUUUAUGUGUAUUUUAUUUUAUUAUUAUUUUUAUGACUUACGCAUUUUAUUUUAUUUUCCCUUUCCCCUCAUAUUCCUGUACGUAUUUGCUAAAAUUGUUUAUAUAUUAUACUUAUAAAUAUGCAUAAUUUAAAUUUAAAUAUUUGCUUCAUAUUGCAUUAACAUUUUUAACAUAUUUUUAAUAAAUAUUUUGAUUUUUGUAAAAAAUAGUAAAAUUGGUUUUAUGAUCCAAAGGCUUUUAAAAUAAAAACGAUAUUCAAAGUUAGGGAUUUUCGAGGAAAAUUGAGCCCUAACGUAUUGGGUUCCGAUUUUCUUUGUUAAUUCUAAAUAACCGAGAAUAUUCGUUAUUUAAAAUGUAUAAGUAAAAAUCAUUUUUGGGAACUUAAUUUGCUAUGUCCUAAUGUAUUAGGCAUGACAUAAUUGCUUUCUCGAAAUGAAGAUUUUCUUUAAUAGUUAAAAAGCGAUAUCCAAAGUUCGGGGAUUUUGAGAAAUUGUACCCUAAGGUAUUGGGUCUCGAUUUCUUUAUCUAACUUGAACAAUUGAUUAUCCUUUUUCAGAUUUCAUCAUUUGAGUUUUUUAAAAAAAAAAAUUUAACCCUCAACACUAAGACAUUAAAUAAUCAAUUUGGUACCGAUUUUUGGGCGUUACGAGGGUGCUAACCCUUCCUCGUACGUAACUAACUCCCGAACUCGUUUUCUCAAAUUUCGUAGACCAGAAUGAUUUUUAAGGUGGGCCGAUCACACCUCAAUCUAGGAUCGGUGGCGACUCCAAUUUUGUUUUUAAAGUCGACAACCCAAAUUUUUGUUUUCAAAAAAUGGUUUCGACAAUGUUAUAACAAUUCAAUUUAAAAAAUAAGCAAUGAUCUUAUUUUUGCAUACCGUAAUAUACAUUUACAUGAUAAUAAUUCAUUGUACAUAAAUUUUGACAUGUUCGUAUAUUUGAGUCAUUAUAAUUUUAUUAUUUGUAAUAUGACAUGUUUUACUUACCCUUAAUAUUGUGUCAUGAUAAUUAUAACUCGAUUGGCAGUGUACCAAAUAUUUUUCUAAUAAAAAAUAGUAUUUUAUUCUAUUUACUAAAUCUUUAUCAACUUUAUAUUCUCACCAACAAAACAUACAUUCAAAGUUCAAAUAAGUUCCACACCCAUUUAUGCUCAUCAUCAGAAAGCUGAAAUAUUCCACUCUAAUUAACAUUAUGAUUCUGUAAACAACAAAAAAGUGUGAUCUUUUUUUAAAGCUCUUUUUUUUCUUUAAUGAAAUGGGAUUGGUAAAAAAUCCGCACAUGUGUCGUGUGUGAAGAAGGUCAGGUUGUCUAUUCAUACUGUAAUAAGUAGCUAAUUAUAGUUGAUCCUACAAAAUCAAAAUUAAUUCAGGUAUCUAUAUAUUCUGAAGACUGGACAGACCUUAGAAGCUCCUUCAAAUUUGCAAGAACAUGUCGUGGUCCUAAACUCUUUACACCGAUGAAAUUCAAAAGUUGCUCUAUAUCCUGCAAUCACAGUAAAGAUUAUGCAAGCGUUUCAGAACGAAUAACAUAACAAGCAAAAGGCAAUCAAAAUACUGUGAUCUCGAUAAUGUUCUUUGCCGAAAAGGAACAUAAACAUAACCUGAAAACAUCAGUGAAGGCUCAUCAGAUUUGCUUAGCAACCUUACAUACACAUGUAAAAAGCUUUGCUUUUGGAUGUAAGGUGUGACUAUCAUCACAGUCUUUCCUAAUUAGCUGAUAACCCUAUAUCUAACAUUAAUCAUGGCUAAGCAAAUUAACAUACAUAAUGUAAAGGAAUUUGACUAUAAGAUCCAACAGAAAACUUAAUAAAAGAUAAUCAACAUAGAAAGUUAAAAGGCAAUGCAAACUUAUUACAAUGAUGCAAGUGGAUCAAAAGAAAGCACUCUAUAAGGAAUUUGCAUUUAAGGCAUUGUAAACAGAAAAAAAAAAAAAAAACUUUUUGGAAAGUAUUUUCAAAGAGGAGACAAACAGGGUAGAAAAAAUGUUUGGUCCUUCCUUUUUCUAUUUCUACUGUGGUGAAAAAGCCUUCUUGGGUUAAAAGUGUUUUUACACUGCAGAAGUGUUUUUCCACUGCAGAAGUGACGAAGAACACAUAGCUUUUGCAGUCAAAAACCUACUGCUUUUGGCUUUUGCAUUUCGAAGUGAAAAUUAUAAAAAUACUCUUAGAUUAAUUUAUAUUUUAUAUAUUAUUAUAUUAAUUGUUUAAAUCUUAUUUAUUAUUAUAUUUAAUUUUUUUCAAAAUAUUUUAUAUAUCAUCAAUUUUACAAAUAAUUUAUAUUAAUUACUUAAAAGGUAUUUAAAAGUUAUAUUUCAUGUAUCAUUAUAUUAAAUUAUUUAAAUAUCAUAUAACUUGACUAAUUUUUUUCUUUCUACCAUCAUGUCUAAAAAAGACAUUUUAACUUUCAACUGUAAUUUUUGGCAGUAAUGAACAACACUAAAAACUAACAAACAUACUUUUCCGCACCACAUUUCAACAACACUUUUUUCUAAACGCACUUUUGAACUAGUCCUUAGUCUAUCAUGCAUCAACUCUUCAUUUUUCUUUAACUACCCAUGUCCGACUUCGAACAUGGAUAUGGAGAUAUGACCAAGUCACAGUGACAUAGUUUUUAGUUAUGGGGAAUGGGAUUCGAGUGCUGGACCUCCUUUUAGAUGCAUGGUGGGACUUCAUCACAUUUUUCAAAUUUGUUGAUAAUCCUUCACCUAAUCUGCCGGUGAAGUUUAUAGAUAGUCUUAAGUGUCUAUCACAAGAACCUAGAUAUUGUAAAUCCAAUAUCUUCCAAACAAUUCAACCAUGAUAUUAAUGAUGAUGGAAGCAAGAUUAUCCACUAUCAAUGACAUAAAAUGAGCUGUAAAUGCUGACGAACAAACAUGCACUGUUUUUCCAACCUGUGGAUUGAAGAGCAUUGACAAGCUAACUUUGCAGACCAUUUGAAUCCAAUACUAUACAUAAAAAUGCCAAAGGAGAAUAAUUCAUCUUGGAAAAAGAAUUACUAAUAUGCAAAAGCUUACCUUGUUUAACAAGAAAACAGCAUAUGCUGCUCUUGUCGUGUCUUGACCUUCUAAAAACAGCGGAAAUUCUGCCAGCUUUACAUUUGCUGAAAGUGUUGUAUCCAAUGACAAAUCAGAAGAUGCAGGGUCUAUUGAAGACGCAUGGUCAUUAAUAUAUGAGCGAGAACCACCCAAGCGCAGAGGAUAACGCAAGGGAACUUGUAAAUAGGAUGCAAUUAGUGAAACAGCCUGCAAAUGAUGAAAUAACAGGAAACAAGAAACAAUAAUAGGUAUGAUUAAAAUUAUAGCCUCAGCAUGAGAAACAAACAAUCAAGAUGCAACCCACUAUACCAUAUUACCAUCCUAGCAAUUAAAAAUUACUACAGCAUCUUCAAGCAACAAGGGAUUGUAGGUGGUAGGUCAAAAAACUUGAUAUCCACAGCUUGAUAUUAUCAGAAAAAACAAAUUCAGUAAUAAAUGAUAACUUCACAGAAGAAAUAGAACGCACAUGUGCAACAGAUCCCAAGGCAGUUGCAGAUCUCUGAACCUCCUUUUUGUCAGUGAAAAAACUCAUCUUUGUAAAAGGAAGCAAGGUGAGAUUCAGACCUAAAAUUGUCAACGAUCCUUGAUUGACGGGCUUUGAUGCAGAAGGAUUCCCUAUUGAAGACAGGAACAAAGGAACUUCAUAUCAGUACAUCACCAGACACCACCUCUUUGUGAAAGUCAAAAGAAAAUUCAAAAAAAUAUCAUCAUGAAAGUAAGAGAUAUGUAAAAAGUACAUAAUAUUCAAGAGCAAAAAAAAAUUGUUUUGAUAUGAGGAGAAUUGAAUAGUAGAUUGCUAAAAGAGGAAUAACUGAAUACAACCAUUAUAACCAAAAGAAGAGUCAAGUGAUAGGUAAUGGUACUCCCUAAGCUGUUUAGGAAUCAUAAAAGACUUGUCCAGUCGACAAAAAUAACUCAUUUUAUUCUCCCCUAGUAAAACAUCAUAUUGGACCAACCAUAUUUGAUAUCAAAGGAUAUGCAUAUCCAGGCAUGCCAUUUAUAGAUAUUCCCAGUGUUACAAGAAGGAAUUGUUCAAGAGAAAGAAGCUGCUAUUGUUGGUAAAGUUUUCCUCAAAACAUUUUGAACAUCCAAAAUCUCAAGAACAAAAAAGAAAACGUAGGAGGAAAUAAAACAAGCAUCACAACGGGUUCUCGAUGAUAUAAGUGAGAGGAUAAAUGUUAAUUAAGAAUAUAAAAAUAAACCACAAACUAAACAGGAAAGACAUGGAUUUCAAAACGAGGAGACUGGCUGCUAAUUAAAACCAUAUGCGGCGUUGUCUAGGGCGCAAGGCACAUUCUAGGUGCUAACCUUUAUAUUGCCUCAAGCACAAGGCACAAAAGGAAGCGCUAGCCUGAGUGCAGUAAAGCGCAAUACGUAUAUGUGAGAGUUUUUGCAAGUCUGUGUGUCUAUAACAUAAAAGUUUUAAGAUAUAUGGUAAACUCUAAAGUGUGGUCUGGUUUAUCCACAAAACUUGCAAAAUUUUUAUAGGUGAAUACUUAAAUAUUGAGAAUUAUAGAGUUUGAUAUUAUCCCUUUCUUAUUAGUAAAGGUGUAUCAAAUGAAAACAGUAGAAAAUAAAAUAAAAUAUUGAGAAAUUCAACAAGGCAGGCUUUUUCUAAUGCCCAUUGCCUUACAAAAAAAGUGUGCCUAGGUGCACCAGGCAUACGCUUGAUCAAAUGGACCUCACCUGGAAGGGUCCAAGGCGUUUUGUUGUAUAAAACUAAGGCGUAGGCACGCCUAGGCGCAUGCCUUGACGACACUGACCAUAUGUUGGCUUUAUUGCAAAGCAUUAGCAAUCCAAAACUACUAGCACAUUACCUAAUCUACUACUGCUAGAAUAGGACUCAAGUUCUUGCUCCUGUGCAGGUCCAACCAAGAUCUUUACAGGAUACAAUAAUGAAACUUGUGAUAUCAUAUAUUGUUGCCUUGCUCGAAGCUUCCUUUGCACAUUUUUAAGUUUAACACAACCCCUUUCUUCAGUGAGUAAUCUAUUUGCUUCCUGUGAUAAAAACAACAUAUAAUCAAUCAUGCCACGCAUGCAAGACUACCAACCAACUAUCUAAUAAAAGAGACAAAGAAGUAGGAGAGCAAGAAGGGGAUAACCCUUGACUAUGCAAAGGAAUUCAUAGAAUGAGAAUCAUCUCAUCUAAGCCCCUCAACCACCUUCACAGGGGGUGGAGGUGCAAAGAGAGAGGUCUUAUUGAUCCGAGAGGAGAAUAUAUAACAUCUAAAGCUGAAUAAGAAGAAACCUUCAAAUAUAUCAUAAAUUCAGAAUUCAUGAUAAUAUAAAAAUGAAAUUCCAAAGCUAAUUUAAGCUAGAAUAAAAAUGCUUCACCUGUAAUCGCUUCCUUGCUACAGAAAGAGAGGUACCAGCAACCAACAAUGAUCUUACUUCAGUACUCAGCAUUUCCUCCUGUUUUUUAGCAUCCUCUGUUGCAACUUUGCAACGAGUUGACAUGUUUGCCAUAACUACUUUCCUUGCCUCUAGUCUCUCACGCAUUUCCUCAAGCUCGUUCAGUUUAUUCAAAGACUCAUUUUUUACCUGCACAGCAUGUUCCCACCCAUUAAUCAGUGGGCCAAUUAAUUAGGUCACAGAAGACAAAACUAAAUUAUCACUCACCAGGUCCCCUUGAAGUGUCAUAUGGCUUUAACAAUUCAACGUGCAAUAUCUAGUAAAAGUGAAAUAAACAUAGAAGAAUGCAAAUGCAAUUCUUAAACGCCUUUAAAUGGACAACAUGAAACAGUUUAAGAGCCCUAUAAAACAGAAAAGUGGAAAAAAAAUCUGAAAAGGAAAAAAAAUGAAUUGAAACAAUAAAUCCAUCCCUUGAAGUGUCAUAUGGCUUUAACAAUUCAACGUGCAAUAUCUAGUAAAAGUGAAAUAAACAUAGAAGAAUGCAAAUGCAAUUCUUAAACGCCUUUAAAUGGACAACAUGAAACAGUUUAAGAGCCCUAUAAAACAGAAAAGUGGAAAAAAAAUCUGAAAAGGAAAAAAAAUGAAUUGAAACAAUAAAUCCAUCCCUUGAAGUGUCAUAUGGCUUUAACAAUUCAACGUGCAAUAUCUAGUAAAAGUAAAAUAAACAUAGAAGAAUGCAAAUGCAAUUCUUAAACGCCUUUAAAUGGACAACAUGAAACAGUUUAAGAGCCCUAUAAAACAGAAAAGUGGAAAAAAAAUCUGAAAAGGAAAAAAAAUGAAUUGAAACAAUAAAUCCAUCUGGUACAAACAGCAACAAAUCUCGAAAUAAGCCUUGGCUUUAGCCCAUUAAAGCCCGGGCAUCCGGCCAAAUAAACAGUGACUGCCAUGUCAACUUUUUGAGACGGUAGAAAAGAGCUCAAAAAUCUCAAUUUCCAAAAUUAAGGACAUAAGAAGGAAAAAAAUGUACUUAUUCUUACAGUAGAAGAGCAAAAUGAAACUAAAUGAAGGAUAAGGGAACUGAUGCGAAUUGACAUUGUUAUUUUUGGGACUAAAAAGAAUACGCAGAUUGAAUAUUUAAGAUUUUGCAAGGGAAAAGUUCCAUUCACCAACACAAUUAUCAUCGCCCUUUAUCCCAGUAAAGCUUAAUUGACAAUUUUUCUGUCUCGUGUUCUUGCUAAAGCAUUUGAGCAACCCAACAGAAAUCAUUAUAUGUCAAACUGAAAUGAUUGGCUUUAUCAAUUUCACAACCUAUACUGCCCAACCUAGUAAGUAAUUUAGGUGCAGACACCAGAAAUCUAUUUUCUUUGCACUCUACAACCAAAUAGCCUACCACUUAUCAAUCAAACACAGCUGAAAACUUCAGUGAGGAAACAUUAUGUAAACUGAAAAAACUAUAACUUCAACUUGAUUCAUAGCUCGGUAAGUUCAGGGAACUGGGACUUCUACCACCAUGAUCCAGUUCGAUGUGAAACAGUGAUCCAUAUCACGCAUAUCGGUUCCCGCAACAAGAGGUAAAACAACAAAUUAGGUAAACAAUGAUCCAACUAUAUUUCAGAAUAGCAACAUUGAGCAUGAAAGCUAAAAUUAUAGCAUAUUAUGGGUCCUUGCUCCCUACAACUACAUAUAAAAUUACUAAACAAUAUUACUACAUUAAGGAUCCAGAAAAACUUGGUUUCAAUUGUUGAUCACUUGAUCCAACUAUUUUAGAAAGUUUAUUCUUCUUUUUCCUUUCCCUUAUUUUCUAAAUCAGGAAAAACAGUAGCAUAUAAACUGGAUUACUACUCCAAUUAAGUUUCUAAAAUUUCAGCAAUAUCCCUUUAACCUUUUCACUCAAGUCACUACCCCCCCCCCCCAAUUAACAAAUAUAUUCCCAGUUUCCCUUUCACUUCAAACCCCCCCCCCCUUUUUUUUUUCUCUACCCAAAUUCAGCUUACGUUCAAAAACCCAAAAUUGGUUUGCUAAAAAAACAUAAUUUUCAAACCCAAAGGUAACCUAAUUUUAAUCAGAAAAAAAAAAAAAAGCAUUACCUGAAUUAGUGAAUGGAGUUUCUCUUGAAGACUUUAUUUUAAAAUUAUCUUAUACUAUUUGCUUUAAAUCGAUUUUUAUUAGUUAUUUGAAACUCGUUUUCAUGUACUAUUUAUUUUUUUAUCACUUAUUUAAAUUGUUUUACAUAUCUAUUUUUUAAACCCUAUUUUAUUAUAUUUUACUUAUUUUAACUUUUUUACAUAUUUCAUUAUAAAUAUUAUUAAUUAUCUAUAUUGAGUUUUUCAUUCAUAUGUAUUACUUAUUUAGAUAAAUAUAUACUAUUUUGUGUAUUACUUAUUUUGAUUUUCUUCUUAUACAAUAUUACUUUAAAAUUCAUUUAGAUAUUAUUAUUUCACAUAGUAUUUAUUUUUAUCUUCAUUUUUGAUCUAUUUCAAACUCAUAUAUAUUGUUUAUUUUGAAAUUUUAUGCACAUGAUUAUUGUUUAUAUUGAUGAUUUUAAAUUUCCUUUCUUGUAUUUUUAUUUAUUUAUUUUAAAACUUGUUAUACUUUAUUUGUGUUAAUUUGCUUAGUUUUUCUUUCAAAAUUAACUUAUAAUUCAUUAGCUUUUAAUGUUAGUAUUUGCAUAAUAUGUGAUAUAAGAUUAUUGCUCUCAUGUAUUGCUUAUCUGUAUAUAUUGAUUAUUUGUCAUUCAUUAGUAUAUAUUUUGUUUUACGAAUUAUCACUUCUCGCGUUGUACAUUAUCAUUUCCAUCGCGUUUUAUUUGCUCAAAAAUUAUGUUUAAUAUGGCUUAAGUUUUGAAAUCAUUUUAUCCAAAAGCUUCCAAUAUAGCAUAACACUCGGUGUUUGGGAUUUUUGAAAAGAUCGUACUCUAACUUACGAGGUCUCGAUUUUUUGAUAAUUUCAAAUAUACGAACCUUUAAAAAAAAAACAAGACACAUUUACUUAAAAAUUAUCUCAAGAAUCAAAAAAAGAUCGUGUCCCAACUUACCGGAUAUGAUUUAUUAUCUGAAACCGAUAUGAUCAAGAUUUUUAAAAAUAAAUAAAUUUUGGUGUUUAUUCUCGUUUCGGGAUUUAAGAUAUUGUGUCCUAACUCACGGGAUAUAAUUUUUUUCUCGAUUAACGAGAAAUACACCCUUCUUUAAAUUUUAACAAAAUGGUCAUUUUUUUAAAUUUCUUUUCGAAAUUUUAAUUUUUCGACAUUAAGACAUUAAUUAAUCGAUUAGGUACUAAUUUUGGGCAUGACGGGGUGCUAAUCCUUCCUCGCGUGUAACUGACUCCCGAACCCGUUUUUCUUAAAUUUCAUUGACCAAAAUCAUUGUUUUAAUAAAAUCAAAAUGUUUUAUCAAAACGAUUGAAUUGCAAUGUGAUCCAAUCACACAUAAAAAAAAUGUCGGUAGCGACUCCCUUUUUUUCAUUUUCAAAAUAAAAGUCAACACUAUUUUUGUUUUCAAAAAGUGGUUUCGACAAAAUUGUUUAAAUCUUACUUAUUAUUAUAUUUAAUUGUUUUUCAAAAUAUUUUAUAUAUCAUCAAUUUUACAAAUAAUUUAUAUUAAUUACUUAAAAGGUAUUUAAAAGUUAUAUUUCAUGUAUCAUUAUAUUAAAUUAUUUAAAUAUCAUAUAACUUGACUAAUUUUUUAAUUUCUACUAUUAUGUUUAAAAAGAACAUUUUAACUUUCAACCGCGAUUUUUAGUAGCAAUGAACAACACUAAAAACUAACAAACACACUUUUCAGCACCCCUUUUCAACAACACUUUUUUCUUAAAGUACUUUUGAACUAGUCAUUAGUCUAUCAUGCAUCGACUCUUCAUUUUUCUUUAACUACCCAUGUCCGACUUCAAACAUGGAUAUGGAGAUAUGACCAAGUCAGAGUGACAUAGUUUUUAGUUAUGGGGAAAAGGAUUCGAGUGUUGGACCUCCUUUUAGAUGCAUAGUGGGACUUUCAUCACAUUUUUCAAAUUUGUUGAUAAUCCUUCAUCUAAUCUGCCGGUGAAGUUUAUAGAUGGUCCUAAGUGUCUAUCACAAGAACCUAGAUAUUGUAAAUCCAAUAUCUUCCAAACAAUUCAACCAUGAUAUUAUUAAUAAUGAUGAAAGCAAGAUUAUCCACUAUCAAUGACAUAAAAUGAGCUGUAAAUGCUGACGAACAAACAUGCACUGUUUUUCCAACCUGUGGAUUGAAGAGCAUUGACAAGCUAACUUUGCAGACCAUUUGAAUCCAAUAAUAUACAUAAAAAUGCCAAAGGAGAAUAAUUCAUCUUGGAAAAAGAAUUACUAAUAUGCAAAAGCUUACCUUGUUUAACAAGAACACAGCAUAUACUGCUCUUGUCGUGUCUUGACCUUCUAAAAACAGCGGAAAUUCUGCCGGCUUUACAUUUGCUGAAACUGUUGUAUCCAAUGACAAAUCAGAAGAUGCAGGGUCUAUUGAAGCUGCAUGGUCAUUAAUAUAUGAGCGAGAACCACCCAAGCGCAGAGGAUAGCGCAAGGGAACUUGUAAAUAGGAUGCAAUUAGUGAAACAGCCUGCAAAUGAUGAAAUAGCAGGACAUUAGAAACAAUAAUAGGUAUGAUAAAAUUAUAGCCUAAGCAUGAGAAACAAACAAUCAAGAUGCAGCCCACUAUACCAUAUUACCAUCCUAGCAAUACCUGCAAAACUUUCAUCAAAACUCUGUUGGGAAGAAACCGAACAACCGAAACAAAGCGAAAGCACAACCGGUGUUCUUUCUCUCCUUAUAACUCCUGUAAAAAUUAUGGCAAGCACAAUAGCACAAGAUAUGUUCUCUAGCAACCUUAAUCAACCACAAAUCAACUAAUGCAACCACAACAAAAAAUAAAUAGAGACACCGAUAUUUUUACGUGGAAAACCCCUCUAAAUUAAGGGUAAAAACCACGGGACUUUAGAGUCCGAUAAAGAGCUCCACUAUCAUCAAAUGUUCAACUACAAGAUCACAAUAUCAAGCCUACAACAAGCAUUCAACUCCGACAAGGCUAACAACAUGUAAUCUUUAGCAAAAGAGAGAAAAAUGAGAGAACAUCACCAAAAACGUAGCUGCUGAAAAAUGGGUAUUUCCGACGCUACAAGACUCGGAUGAAAAAUCCGACCGUACAAAGUCAAGAACACCUUAUCACCUAGCUGCUGUCCCAAAAUCAGCUCAAUCGAACCACGGAUGGACCUUCGAUCGAAGAGUUGAUCACUGCUGCACCAAGCUUGAAAAACUGAUUUUUUUCUUUCUCUCUUUCUCUCUGUUUUUUUUUCUUUAGCUCUCUGCUAAAAUUUUUGCCCAACACCCGUUAAAAACCCAAAAUGGCUUUUUUGACAAAACCAAAGAAGGGACAAAACAUUAUGGCAUAAAAUAUGGGUUUCCCACAUAGUGGGACCCAUACCCAACAAAUCUCCCCCUCCAACUAUGUGGGGAAUGCCUCCAUGCCGGAGGUCAAACAACAUGCUUCAAACUUUCCUCUUGGUAAGGCCUUCGUCAACAUAUCAGCACCAUUAUCAUUAGUGUGUAUCUUCUCAAGCUCUAACAGCUUAGCUUCAAGAACAUCUCGUAUCCAAUGGUACCUCACAUCAAUAUGCUUAGAUCUAGCAUGAAAAGUUGAGUUCUUACCAAGAUGAAUAGCACUCUGGCUAUCACAAUACAGGACAUACUUCUCCUGAGUAAAACCAAGCUCAUGCACAAACUUCUUCAUCCAAAGCAUCUCCUUACACGCUUCGGUUGCUGCAAUGAACUCUGAUUCGGUGGUGGACAAUGCAACACACUUUUGCAGUCUCGAUUGCCAUGCCACAGCUCCCCCUGCAUAAGUGAUUAAGUAACCUGAAGUAGAUCUCCUCGAGUCAAUGUCUCCGGCCAUGUCUGAAUCUGUAUACCCAACAAGAACAGGUUUCUCAUUGCCGAAACAAAGUUUCAUGUUGGAAGUGCCACGAAGAUAUCUCAUAAUCCACUUCACUGCAUUCCAAUGCUCUCUGCCUGGAUUAGAAAGAAACCGACUAACUGUACCAACGGCAUAAGCCAAGUCUGGUCUCGUGCAAACCAUUGCGUACAUCAAACUACCCACGGCUGAAGAGUAAGGAAUUUUCUGCAUCUCUUCCUUCUCCUUUUCUGUGGAAGGACUAUGCUUAACACUCAAUCUAAAGUGCAUAGCAAAGAGAGUAUUCACCGCUUUAGCUUUGUCCAUACUAAACCUUUGAAGUACUUUCUCAAUGUACCUCUCUUGUGAUAACCAUAAUUUCUUGGCCUUUCUAUCACGUGUCAGUCUUAUGCCAAGAAUUUGCUUUGCUGGCCCCAAAUCCUUCAUUGCAAAGGAUUUACUCAACUCUUGUUUCAACUUCUCAAUUCUAGAAGCAUUCUGACCAACAAUAAGCAUAUCAUCAACAUAGAGCAAAAGAAUAAUAAAAUCAUCACCAGAGAAUCUCUUAACAAACACACAAUGAUCAGAAGUAGUCUUCUUGUAGCCUUGCUCCCCCAUAACAGACUCAAACUUCUUGUACCAUUGCCUUGGAGCUUGCUUCAAACCAUAGAAGCUCUUCUUCAAUCUGCACACAUAGUCCUCUUUCCCUUGUACAACAAAACCCUCUGGCUGCUCCAUGUAAAGCUCUUCUUCCAAGUCACCAUGAAGAAAAGCAGUUUUCACAUCCAUUUGUUCAACCUCUAGGUCAUAACAAGCUACCAAACUCAGUAUAGUUCUGAUAGAGGACAUCUUCACAACCGGAGAAAAUAUUUCUUCAAAAUCAACCCCCUUUUUCUGAGUAUAACCCUUGACGACCAAUCUAGCUUUGUAUCAUGGAGAUGAAGACUUCUCUUCUUGCUUCAACCUGUAAACCCACCGAUUCUUCAAAGCUCUUUUGCCUUUAGGCAGUUUCACCAAUUCAAAAGUAUGGUUCUCAUGCAAGGAUUGAAGUUCGUCUUUCAUCGCUUCAACCCACUGAUCUUUGCAUUCACUCUCCAUAGCCUCUUCAUAACAUUCAGGUUCUCCCCCGUCAGUCAAAAGAACAUAUUCAUCAGGAGAAUACCUGACAGAAGAUCGUCGGUCUCUGGAAGACCUUCGAAGUGGAACUGCUGGUGGAGCUAUAGGUGCUUGUUGUUGAUCAUUCACAACAUCAUCCAUGGGAGUAUCAAAGUCACCUAUAGUCUGAUGGUCACCACUAACAUCACCAUGCACAACAUCCUGGAUAGGAUCUGGUGAAGAGUCUAGGGGAACCGGAUUCACAUCGAUCAAGUCACCACUACCUUGUGAAUCCACUUUCUCCGUCUUAUCAAUGUCAUCAAUGGUCUGAUCCUCAAUGAAGACAACAUCUCUGCUUCUCACGAGUUUCUUCUGAACUGGAUCAUAGAGUCUAUAACCAAACUCACCAUCUAGACCAUAACCAAUAAAAAUGCAUUGUCGAGCCUUGGCAUCCAACUUGGAUCUUUUAUCCUUUGGAACAUGAACAAAUGCUUUACAACCGAACACACGUAGGUGAUCAUAUGACACGUCUUUACCAAACCAAACUCUAUCUGGCACAUCACCUUUCAAAGGAACACUAGGAGACAGAUUUAUCACAUGUGUCACUGUAUUCAAAGCUUCAGCCCAAAACGAUCUUGGUAACUUUGCAUCUGACAACAAACAUCUGACUCUCUCAAUCAAUGUUCGGUUCAUUCUUUCAGCUAACCCAUUUAACUGUGGAGUCUUUGGUGGUGUUCUCUGAUGUCUGAUUCCCUGUCGCAGACAAUACUCAUGAAACGACCCUGUGUACUCGCCACCAUUAUCAGUACGAAUGCACUUCAACUUCUUCCCAGUUUCCCUUUCAACUGAUGCUUGAAACUGUUUAAACACCUCAAAGACUUGAUUUUUAGACUUCAAAGUGUAAACCCAUAGCUUUCUUGAACAAUCAUCAAUGAAAGUCACAAAGUAAAGUGCACCACCAUGUGAUCUUACUUUUAUCGGACCACAAACAUCUGAAUGGACCAACUCUAGCAACUCUGAUUUCCUAUGAGGAGGAUGGCUUCUAAAUGAAACUCUUUUCUGCUUUCCUGCUAGACAAUGAGCACAAUUCUUCAGUGUAGCAUUCUUUAAACCCGAAAGUUGAUUCUUCUUCGCUAAACAGCUAAGCCCCUUCUCACUCAUGUGACUGAGUCGUUUAUGCCACAACUCAGUUGAGUUGUCAUUCAGUGUCACAUUCACCGUCUCUCGAGAAGUCAAAGCUUGCAUCAAGUACAAAUUUGAGUUCUUCUUUCCUCGAGCCACAACUAAGGAGCCUUUAGUCAGCUUCCACUGCCCUUCACUGAAGGUGUUACAGAAUCCCUCAUCAUCAAGCUUUCCUGCAGAAAUCAAAUUCAAACGGACAUCCGGUGCAUGUCUGACAUCCUUGAGAGUUAACUUUGUUCCAUUGUUACUUACCAAGCUAACAUCUCCCAUACCAAUAACCGAAACCAAACCAUCAUUACCCAUCUUCAAUACCCCAAAAUCACCAGGAGUAUAAGAUGUGAAGAAUUCCUUCCUCGACGUGACAUGAAGUGAUGCACCAGUAUCAAUCACCCAACUAGUCUCGUCGCAUGCUAGGUUGACCAAAUUCUGAUCACAAAUAACUAACAAAUCUUCACGAGUAACAGUAGCAACACGCUCGGAUUUUUCAUCGUCAUUCCGGUCGUGUUUAUCACCACCACCUUUGUUCUCUUUCUUCCACUUGAAGCAAUAUUUCUUGAUAUGACCUUUCUUACCACAAUGAUGACACUCAAGAUUCUUGUAUCUCGAUCUUGACUUGCUUCGGCUUUUAUCUCUACCCUUUCCAUCUUUGUCUCUGUUUCUCCCCCUGUUCUCGAUAACCAACACCUCGGACUGUGAUGUAGAACCCUGAGAUCUUCUUCUAACCUCUUCAUUCAACACACCACUCUUAGCCAAAUCCAAAGUAAUAAUACCCUGUGGGGCAGAAUUAAUGAGUGAGACUCGAAAGGUCUCCCAAGAGUCUGGUAGAGUAGAAAGCAACCAAAGUCCUAAAAUCUCGUCAUCAAAUUUGACACCCAUACCAAGCAACUGAUUCAUCAUACUCUGAAAUUCACUAACAUGGUCAGCUAUAGACAUUCCUUCUUUAUAUUUCAGCGCCAUCAUUUUCUUCAGCAAAAAUAACUUGUUAUUGCCCGACCUCGAAGCAUACAAGCUUUCAAGCUUCUCCCACAAUGUUCGAGCAUGUGUCUCCUGAUCAAUGUGAUUGUAAACAUUUUCUUCAACAAAUUGCCGAAUAAAGCCACACACUUGUUGAUGCUCAAAUUCCCAUUCUUCAUCACUUUUCGAAUCGGGUUUUUGAGUAGUAAAGACCGGAAGAUGCAAAGCCUUCACAAACAACAAGUCCUUCAUUUUAUUCCGCCAAAGUUGAUAAUUUGUGCCAUUCAACAUAAUCAUCUUGCUCGUAUUAAUUUCCAUAAUUAUCUGACACAAUAACCAAGCUCUGGUACCAGUUUGUUGGGAAGAAACCGAACAACCGAAACAAAGCGAAAGCACAACCGGUGUUCUUUCUCUCCUUAUAACUCCUGUAAAAAUUAUGGCAAGCACAAUAGCACAAGAUAUGUUCUCUAGCAACCUUAAUCAACCACAAAUCAACUAAUGCAACCACAACAAAAAUAAAUAGAGACACCGAUAUUUUUACGUGGAAAACCCCUCUAAAUUAAGGGUAAAAACCACGGGACUUUAGAGUCCGAUAAAGAGCUCCACUAUCAUCAAAUGUUCAACUACAAGAUCACAAUAUCAAGCCUACAACAAGCAUUCAACUCCGACAAGGCUAACAACAUGUAAUCUUUAGCAAAAGAGAGAAAAAUGAGAGAACAUCACCAAAAACGUAGCUGCUGAAAAAUGGGUAUUUCCGACGCUACAAGACUCGGAUGAAAAAUCCGACCGUACAAAGUCAAGAACACCUUAUCACCUAGCUGCUGUCCAAAAAUCAGCUCAAUCGAACCACGGAUGGACCUUCGAUCGAAGAGUUGAUCACUGCUGCACCAAGCUUGAAAAACUGAUUUUUUUCUUUCUCUCUUUCUCUCUGUUUUUUUUUCUUUAGCUCUCUGCUAAAAUUUUUGCCCAACACCCGUUAAAAACCCAAAAUGGCUUUUUUUGACAAAACCAAAGAAGGGACAAAACAUUAUGGCAUAAAAUAUGGGUUUCCCACAUAGUGGGACCCAUACCCAACAAACUCAAGUUCUCGAGCUUCACAAUCAAGCAGCAUCUCAAUCAACAGACCAAGCGACACACCAGUAGCUGAAGCUACUACCCGUACUGAUUCACACUCAACUGGCAACCUUGCAAGAAUGAUGCUGACCAUUUCUUGAUUUGAAAUCAAACAACUCGUUGCAACCAACAUAUCACACAUGGACUUGAUCUUAGACAAAUAUUCUUUAACAAACAGAUGACCCUUUUUCUGUGAAUACAACACAUGAUGCAUACUGGACAAUUUUACCGUCGACUUAGUCGCAAGCCUUUUUUUCAAUAGUUUCCCAAAUAUAAUAACUAGUACGAGCACUAGUAAGAUAGGCUAGAAUUUCAUCACUAUCAGUUGAAAGUAACCAAGAAGCCAAUAGCUUAUCUUGUUGCACAUGUAAAACAUAAUCAGAAUCUUCUACUAAUCUCCCAUAUUUAUCCACUACAAACUGUGCUAGUACACUAAUAGCACCCAAAACAAACUCAUGCAGACCGUAUCAUUCAAGGAUCAACAUAAUUUGGAGCUUCCAUAAAACAAAAUUAUACUCACCAAGCUUUAUUGUAUCGUGCUUAGGAAAUUGUUGAAGACAUCUACAACUGUUGAGGUGGGUUUUCUUUAAACAUACUCAUUCCAACAAAAAAAAAAUCUACGUUAGUAUGAUUAAUUAGAAAGUGAUUAAUUCAUUAUUUAGUUAGAAGUGAUGGCCUUAAGAAAAAAAAUGACAUUAUUUUAUUUGGCAUUGUUAAAAGUGUUAGUUACUGAAAUAAUUAAUGAGAUUAUAAAAGUGAAAGAAUCAAAUUAUGUCAAAAGUAAAGUAGAGGGUUUUAAUCUUAAAUUUGGGUAAAAUAAAGGGACUAACACCAAAUAAUUAUAAAAUUUUCAAAUAUUUUGAAAUUAAUUUUAAAUAUUAAUUAAAUACAAAUUAUAAAAAAUAAAAUAAAAAUCCCCAGCGCAGUGAGGGACAUAUUCGAUAUCAAUAAUUAUAAAAUCUGCAGUUGUAAUAUUUAAUUGAUAUAAUAUAUAAAAUUUGAGGGUUAAAUUUGUUAUUAUACAAUUUUUUUAACUGCCGUGUCACUUUGCAAUUUUUUAUUUUAAGGAGUCAUCAAAAUAACUAAACUAUGUAAUGUGAGUGCUUAAAUUACAAAAUUUUUACUUUAAUGUGAGUGCUUAAAUUACAAAAUUUUUACUUUAAGUGUUUAAAUUUUUUUAAAAAAAUUAUAAUUAAAUAACAAUCUAUAUGUAGUUUGCCCAAAAAUUUUAUAACCCAAACUACACAAUUUUAUGGCCAUCUCCCACUUUUGAUAUCUCUUUGGCCAUUAGUUAAGAUGGGAGGGGAAUGACUUAUUCAAGAUUAGUGUCAACAUUAGAUUUAAAACCUACGGAAGUCAUGUUUCAAUUUUUUUAUAUAAUAAUAUAACAUUUAAAAUUAUAUUUUUAAAAUACAUUAUAUUUUUAAAGAAAAAUAUAAGUUCAAAUCUUGAAUACUAUAUUAUUGAAAGGGCAGUUAGGAAUCCGGAACUUAGAUAUUAAAAUAGGUAUGAAGAAUUAAAAAACAAAAAUAAAAUUUUAUUUCUAAAAAACAAAAACUUUGCAGGACUUAUCUUAUAUCUAUAAAAGAACUCAUUGGAUUAGGGUUUUUUUUUUAAUUAACUUUCCAUUUGUUAUUAGAAAACAAAACUAAAAAUGCAUCAAACAGGGCUCUGAUAAAAAAUUAAAAAAAAAAACCAAAAUGUUUAGGUUUGGUAUCGUUUUACUUUUACUUUAAAAUCAGUCUAAUCUGUAUCAUGCUCACACCAAACAUAUGAAGAAAAAAAAAGUGAAAUAGAAAGGAUAUUAUUAAUUUCAUUCCAAGACAAAUUUUAGCAUACCCAAUUAGGUCCUUGGGUUAAUCUUAUGUUUUUUGUUUAGGCAUUCAGCAUUCUUGGCGUUUAGUUUAGUUAGAAUUUUAAAUUAUGAUAGAUCUGAAACUUUGGUAUUUUUGUGCAAAACUCAACCUUAAAGCUUUAUUUGUUGUCUAAAUUAUUUUAUUGAAGCCUAGGAAUUGUUGUUAUUGUUUCGGCUAAUUGACCUUAAAGCAUCAAAUGCCUUUUUUUGGAUGGUCAUAUUCCUUCCAAGGGCUGAAUUACUAAAAGCCCAUGAAGUAUCCUUCUUUUUCUUAAGUGAGCCUCUGUUUCAAUGCCGCCAAAAUUUUCUUUAUCCACAUGGAAGCUGACCUGCCAUGAUGAUGUGGUAAAAAAAUGAACAAUUUGUAUUUUUUGAAAAAUAUAACACUUCAGAACUUUCUUUCUUCUUGCCUCCCAAUUCUCACCACCAAUUCCUUAGCCCAAAUCAGUUUUGGCCUCCGACAUUGAUCAUAACAAAAGUAAACUUUCUAUUAGAAAUAAUUUCUUUUAUGUACAAAUUAAAGGGUAAGAUAUUGUUUGGGUACAAAAAAAGCAUAUGAGCUUACUUUAGAAAAGUGACAACGUUGGGCUCUUUUAGUAUUCUAUCCUCCCACCAACUUUGUCCAAUGUUUUUUGCCUUAUCACCAGACAGUAAAAGGGCCUUUGACCUUUUCAGGCUAAGCGCUGCCUGGUGCAUGUAGGGGGAAAAGGCCUUCUAAUUGAAGUUCUCUUUAGUAUCUCUUUAAUUGUUUCUUAAUUGUAACAAAGGGAUAAUAUCGAACUCUCUAUUUCUCAAUAUUUGAGUAUUCAACACCAGGCAUGGGAUCAUAUGGAAAUAUGCAUAUGGUUGACAAAAGAAAGAAAAUUUGGAAAUGUUUAUUUAAGUAGUAACUGCUGGUUUUCUUGGAUGCUUUCUUGUUAAUGACUACUGUUUGGGCAUGUUUAUUUAAGAAUUGCCCCCAAGUAGUUUCUUGAAUCAUCUAAAAUUGGAAAAAUUAGUCUUAUGGUAACUCAUUAAAGUAUUUGAAAGUAUGCACAAGCUAAUAACAUUUUAGAAAUUAAAAUUUAAGAUCGGUUUUUAGGGUAUCAUGUCCAUAUUAAGCAUCAUCUUUCCAGAUUACUGUUCUCUCUCUCUCUCCCUCUCUGUGUGAUAUAUUUCUCAAGUGAAAGGUAACCUUCUUCACUUGAUUUUGACUUAAUUUUGCAGUCACCACGAUUGUAUAAUGUGUACAAGCAAAUGGGAAUUGUAAAAUCUUUUCAGAAUAUUCUGGACAAUGUUUUCAUUCCACUAUUUGAAGUUACAGUUGAUCCGAAUUCUCAUCCUCAACUACACGUGUUCCUAAAAAUGGUGAGUUCUAUGUUCAUCGGAGAACAUACUGUGCUAUAAUAAGAGAUUUCGGAAAAUAUAGUUAAAAAAUGCUUCUUUAUUGGAAUGACCUGCAUUAUAGCAAGCUGAAUAAAUGAUGCCUUAACUUUAUUCAUUGUGUUCUCAUAAUUCUUUAAAACCAUUCGAAAAUUCUCUUCAGCCACAUUAUAUGGUCAAUUUUUGGGUCUGUACUCUGUACUGCAUAUUGAACAUGGGUACAUCCUUGCGAUUUUAGAUGGAUGGAGUUGGACAGCAAAGCAAUUGAAAAAAACCCAAUUUAUGGUUUCUAAAUGUUAGAUCAUUUAUGGUUUCUAGUUUCAAUUUAAAAAAAAAAUCCAAAUCAGCCAACUAAUGAAAUUUUCAACGAUGUUAGUUAUUUUAACUAAUCCAUAACAUGUUUGCUUCUUUUUUUUUUUAGCCUAGCAGCAAUGUUAGCCUCUGGACUAGUUACCGCCCUCCUUUUUCCCCUCCCUAUUAACCCUUUUUAUUUUUCUUCUCAUUCACUCCAUGAGUCUUCGUUCUUUUCAGUUUACAGAUUUAUUUUGUGAGUAUUUUUGUUGUCUUUACAAGUUGUAAUGGACAGUUGACGACGGCUAUCAUCAUUGAAACACCACCGACCACCAACACUUUCUUUUAGAAAGUGGGUACCUCUUCGUUGACUACUUAAUUUGUUUAUAUUUUGAGAGUUUCAAAAUAAUAAAUGAUUUCAUGACUCGGUUUAGACUCAUGUUUUUUUUCCAUUGUUCAAUAAGUUUUUACUUUUAAAAGUUUUUUUCUACUCUUAUAGUAAGCUUUUUAGUCUUGCUUUUGCGAGUAAUUUUAGGGUUGGUUUUGUCGCCAUCCCCUCUAGUUUGGUGGAUGCUCAGUUCUUUUGUUGAUUUAUGCCCGCCGCUUUGGACCAUCCGGGGUUGAUUUUCUUACUAUAUUAAGUGCUUGUAAUCACUUCUGAUAUGUUGUGCUUGAGUUGUGAUAGAGCUGAUUUCAACAUGCCAUAAUGUUCUAUUAAUGUUGAAGCUAAAGCUUUUGUUAUAUUGAUGGAGCUUGUCCUUUAGCGAGUACAACAAGUGUUUGUUAUUUCCUCCCCCCCCCCGAAUUGUAUGGUAUUAUUCAUUGAAUAAAUUAAUGAAGUUGUCUUAAAAAAAACUAAUCCAUAACAUUAACAUUAAUAAGAGAACAAAAUAUAUCAAAUUAAAAAAGAAAAACUGAAUCUUUAAUUCAAUUGAGAAAUUAUAGGGAUUAAAACUAUAAAUUGAUCUAUAAUAAUUUCUCAGGCAUUAAUUGUAAGAUUAAUUCCAUAACCUAAAUUAUUGUAGGGGCUAUAUAAGCUCAAGGUUGACGCAAAAGUCAAUAGUCAGCGUCUGAAAGUUAAUGCAAUUAAUUAUGUCAUUGUUGAUAUAUUUAACGCAAAUAUAUUAUCAUAUGUGUAAUGUCAUACCAUCUUAUUAUUUCCAUAUGUUACUAAAAAUCUAGUUAACGGACUAAGGAUUGUCAUUUGUAUCAAGACUGAAAUUUUAAAUUUUGAAAAAUAUAGGUACUUAGAAUAAUCCAAUUAGAGAGUAUGGACUAAAUCAACAAUUAUACGCAUAAUAUAGGACUAGUAAUUGGUUUUAAUUAAAUUGAUUUAACUCUAUUGUUUGGAUCACAACUAAAAUUUUAAAAUUCAAAAUGUAUAGGGAUUAAAAUUGAUCAAAUUGAAGUAAAUAGACUAAAUUUACAACUUUCACAAAGAACAGUGACCAACAGCAGAAUUUAACCAAAUAAGCUCACCAAAGUCAAUAGUCAAUCUUUGAAAAGUAAUGCAAUUAAUUAUGUCAUUGUAGGAACGCUUUCCUGACAUAAAAUUCCACCAACUAAGCCUUUUGCGUAAAUAUUAGCUAUGAAAAUUCAACCAUUGAUAUUAAAUUCAAGACCCCACAAAUGACAGACAUAUAUGUUGGAAAAAUCUUUGUGUGAACAUUUCUUUCGGUCAUACUCAUGUCGUAUAAGUUAGAGGAGCACAAGUCUAGAUUCAUCCAAUUUUUGAGGAAUUAAUUAAUUAUAUAUUAGUUUAAAAUUAUAGUGAAUUAGUGAGACGCCAUAGGUCUUGCUUGCAUAUAAAUAAGAAGCUUAGGCUUCUUCAGAUUAUUUACAUAUAAAAGUUUAAAAAGUAACAUAUAGCUAAGAGAGAAGAGGAAAACAGAAAGAUGAUGAUGAUAAUGAUGGAGUGGAAAUGGUUAUGGUUUAUAAGGAUGGCAGUAAUGUUGUUGGUGUUAGAAGGGUGCAGGUGGUGUACUACUGAUGCUUGUUUGGAGCAUGAGUCGCCUUCUUGCAUCUCAAACCUUUCUUCAAUUAUGAUAAUCAAUUGAAAAGUUGGAUUGAGGUGAAGGGUUCAGAUUGUUGUAAAUGGAAAAGAGUUGAGUGCAACACCAUCACUAGGAGAGUCAUACAACUCUCCCUUAAUCAUACAUCAUCCAAUAUAUAAAUGAAUUAAUGAAUUUACCUUUCAAAAGAGAAAAAAAGAAUUCAUAAAUUUUGAAAUACAAAAUGAACGUGUUUUGAUAUUUUUAGGGCAAUGGUUUAGUGGUUCAAAAUUUUGAUUUAAUAUGGUGAAUUUAAUUAUAAUUUUUUAUAUAUUAGAUAGUAGAAUAUAUUUUACCAUUUAUAAUUAAGUACAAUUAAGUUUAGGUUAAAAUAUUUUAUUAAAUUUUUGUACUUUUCACAAAUUUUAAAUUUAAUCUGUUUACUUUUAUUCUAGAAUUUAAUCUCUCUGCAUGUAAAGGAGGUUAUUAUGGCAAGGGGAAUUACCAUGGCAGAGGUAGCCGAGGCUGACGAAGAGAUGCUGGAUAUGCUGAAGAAAGAUAGAUGGCUGAGAAACAGAAAAACUUUAGGAACAAUAUUCAGUGUUAGAAGUAUGGGGAUGUGAAGGCAGAUUGUUGGAAAAGGGGAAACAAGCAAAUUUUGCCGAAGAUGAUGAAGAGAUUUAAAUUAUUUAUGAGCUGUCUAGAUGACACUAUAGCUUCAACUAACAUUUGGUUUCAAGGGCGUAUAUCUCAUGAUGAAGAGAUCGUCUCUCUUCUUUUUUCUCAUAACAUAUUACACGCCAUGAUAAUAAAUAUUGAUAUGCCUAUAAAUUUGAGUUUCUAUUAUUUGUAGUCAUGAUUUGGUUCACUCCAUAAGUUACAUAAAUUUAUUAUAAUAAUUCAAUUAAUUUUAGAUUAAUUUUACAUUUUUGCCCGAACUUUAGUUUUUAAUAAUUCAAUCAUCCCACCAUUAUAUUCAAUUAAAAGUGUAAUACGAUUUUGCGUCAUCCAACCAUUAUUCUUAGUGUAAUUUUUGGUAGUGAGCAUAGAAGGACAGCGAGAACAAAGAAAGAAUGUAUCCAAUAACCCACUCCCCUUAUAGUCAAUGCUUAAAAUGAUUAAGAAAAUAGAAAACAAACGUGGCAAAGUUAGUUACAAUGCCAGCUAAUUUGUUAUUACUAUUCACCGUAUAACUAAGGACAUUACGCACCGUUUUAAUUAAAACAAACUCACCGUUUAAGACCGUUACUUCUAUGCAUCGUUUUAAUCAUAUGCGUCAGUUCGAACAAAUAGGUGAACAUGAAAGCUUUUCGCAAAGUUUAGAUGUGUGCUUAAAACUCAAACUUUGUGUUCUGUAAAAAUAUUGAUUUUGUUGUAAUUGUAGGUUGAACUUUGUGAGUCCAAUUACUUUCUUUGGCAUCGGAUAUUUCGUGGAACUUUCGUAUGAGAUAGAAGAUUACAAAAUUUGGAUAUUAAUAUAUUUUUCAUGAUUUAAUUUUCUUUUCCUUUUUUGGGCUAAAAUAAUUAAUAACGAAAACACGUCUUUUGCUAGCACCUAUUAUUAGAAUAUAUCCCAUACCUUGCCCAUACCUUUCCCAUACCUACCCAUACCUUGGAAAGGUCAAAGUUAUGGGCACCAAAUAUUUAUUUAGUGUUGGGCAUGGGAUAAUAGCAAUUUUUGGUCCCUAAGUGAAUAGGGACUUUGCAAGGUGGCCCUUGAAUCUCAACUAUAAAUAGGCCAAUCAUUGCUCAUUCUCAUCAUCCCACAUUUGCCAUUCUCUACUUAAGGCAUUGUUCUCUCUCCCUAUUUGUAAAGUUUCACUUGUAUUUUGGAGUGAAAUAUAUUUGGUAGUGCCCGAGGACGUAGGCAAGAUUUGCCGAACCUCGUUAAAAUUUUGGUGUUCUUUACUAUUUAAUGUUUAUAUUUUGUGAGUGUGAUUGUAGUGAUUUAUUGUGCUAUUAAAUUACGAUAGAGGGAUAUUCUGGCUAGGAAAGACUUGGUACUUAAGUGAUCCUCGUGAUUCACCUCUCUUUCCUGGGAAUUGAACUUAGUGUGAUUUUUUAGUACAAUAAUUUUACUCUUUCACACGCUUCCGCGCAACAAUUGGUAUCAGAGCUAGGUUCGUACUUGGGGAAUACGACCGUUUACGGUACUAUUCACGUAUACGACACUAUUCACGUAUACGGUACUGUUCACGUAUACAGUAGUUGGGAUUGAGGAGAAAAAUGGCAGCAGCAUCGUCAUCAGCAAGGACUACUGUGACAAAUGCAAAAUUUGAAGUAGAGAAAUUUGACGGUACCAAUAAUUUUGGUAUGUGGCAAUGUGAGAUCCUGGAUGUCUUAUGUCAGCAAGAGCUAGAUAUAGCCCUUGAAGAAAAACCUGACAAGAUGGAUGACAAGGAGUGGGCCAAGAUCAAUAGAUAAGCGUGUGGUACAAUCCGCCUAUGUUUGGCCAAAGAGCAGAAGUACUCUGUCAUGAGGGAGACAUCAGCGAAGAAGUUAUGGGAUACACUGGAAGAAAAGUUUCUAACGAAAAGUCUUGAAAAUAGGCUUUAUAUGAAAAAGAAACUUUAUCGAUUCACGUAUGCACCCGGUAUGUCGAUGAAUGACCAUGUGAACUCAUUCAAUAAAAUUUUAGCAGACUUGCUAAAUUUGGAUGAGAAAUUUGAAGAUGAAGACAAGGCAUUAUUGUUGUUGAAUUCCCUUCCUGAUGAAUAUGAUCAUCUUACCACCACAUUGCUUCAUGGGAAGGACACGAUCACAUUUGAUGCAGUCUGUAGUGCGUUGUAUAGAUCUGAGACUCGAAAGAAAGAUAAAAGAGAUCACAGACAUACAACCACAGAAGUCUUAACAGUAAGAGGUCGUUCACACAGCAGCAAAUCUGGUAGAAGGGGAAAGUCCAAAGGGAGACCCGCCAAAGAUGAAUGUGCCUUUUGCCGUGAAAAAGGGCAUUGGAAAAAGAAUUGUCCUAAGCUACAAAAGGGCAAGGCUAUUUCUAAUGCAUGUGUAGCGGAGCAUGAUGAGGAGUCAGACUUUAGUUUGGUUGGCAUGGCAAUGACAUGUCAAACGGAUGAGUGGAUUUUGGAUUCAGGAUGUACUUACCAUAUGUGUCCUAAUAAGGACUGGCUUUCUAGUCUUAAAGAGCUAGAAGGUGGAAUUGUUCUUAUGGGCAAUGAUAGUGCUUGUAAGACAAUGGGAGUGGGUACAGUCCAAUUGAAGAAUCACGACGGCUCAAUCCAAGUCUUGACAGAUGUUCCCUACGUACCUAGCCUGAAGAAAAAUCUCAUCUCAUUAGGUGCCCUAGAAUCUAAAGGGCUCACAAUCACUUUGAGAGAUGGAUUACUAAAAGUAGUAGCUGGGCAACUGACGGUGAUGAAAGGCACAAGAAGAAAUAACUUGUAUUUUUUAAAUGGAAGUACAGUUAUUGGAUCAACAUCAACAGUUUCUACAAAAGAUGUAGAUUCAGAGGCUACCAGAUUAUGGCAUAUGCGAUUGGGACAUGCUGGUGAAAAAGCUUUGCAGACAUUGGUGAAGCAAGGCUUAUUGAAAGGUGCAAAUUCUUGCAAAAUGGAAUUCUGUGAACAUUGUGUUCUGGGCAAGCAGAAGAGGGUAAAAUUUGGUCCAGCAAUUCACAAUACGAAAGGAAUUCUGGACUACGUUCACAGUGAUGUGUGGGGACCUACCAAAGUAGCUUCUUUGGGAGGUAUGCACUAUUUUGUUACUUUUGUUGAUGAUUAUUCAAGAAAAGUAUGGGUGUAUCUAAUGAAAAGAAAAAGUGAAGUUUUGGAUGCAUUUCUGAAAUGGAAGAAGAUGGUUAAGACUCAGACUGAUCGAAAGGUCAAACGACUUCGAUCAGAUAAUGGUACUGAGUACAAAAACGAUCCAUUUCUACAAGUAUGCCAAGAUGAGGGCAUUGUGCGACACUUCACUGUUCGGGAUACACCACAGCAAAAUGGGGUGGCAGAACGAAUGAAUCGAACUAUACUGGAGAAAGUUCGAUGUAUGUUGUCCAAUGCUGGAUUGGGCAAAGAAUUUUGGGCUGAGGCAGUUACAUAUGCGUGCCAUCUAAUUAACUGUUUGCCAUCAGCUGCAAUAAAUGGAAACACUCCUAUGGAGAUGUGGACUGGUAAAUCUGCUACUGAUUAUGAUUCUUUGCAUGUAUUUGGUUCUACUGCAUAUUAUCAUGUAAAAGAAUCUAAGUUAGACCCAAGAGCAAAGAAAGCAUUAUUCUUGGGUAUAACUGAUGGAGUAAAAGGAUAUCGUCUCUGGUGUCCUGAUACAAGGAAGAUUGUUUUCAGUAGAGAUGUGACUUUUGAUGAAUCAACCAUGUUAAAGUACAAGGAUUCACAAAAGGAUGGCAAAACCAGUAGUACUUUGCAGCAGGUGGAGCUUGAAAAGGUUAACGAUGAUCCAGCUAAUAUUGAAGGGACAAAUGAUGAAGAGGUUCCUACCCAAGAACCUCUACAGCAACAAGAUUCAAUUGCAUAUAGGAGGCCAAGAAGAGAGAUUAGUAAGCCUGCUCGCUUUGAUGAUAUAGUGGCCUAUGCACUUCCAAUUGCAGAUGAUGAUGUUCCUUCUACUUACACAGAAGUAAUAAGUAACCCUGAUGGUGUAAAGUGGAAGCAAGCAAUGAAUGAAGAAAUGCAGUCUCUUCAUAAAAAUAAGACCUGGGAGUUGGUGACACUACCCAAGGGAAAGAAGGCAAUUGGAUGCAAAUGGGUAUAUGCAAAGAAGGAAGGAUUUCCUGAUAAAAAUGAAAUUCGAUACAAGGCUAGAUUAGUAGCGAAGGGUUACGCUCAGAAAGAAGGAAUAGACUAUAAUGAAGUGUUUUCUCCAGUUGUGAAGCAUUCGUCUAUUCGGAUUUUGCUAGCCUUGGUUGCGCAAUAUGAUCUUGAACUAGUUCAGCUUGAUGUGAAGACCGCGUUUUUACACGGUGAUUUGGAAGAGGAAAUCUAUAUGACUCAGCCAGAUGGAUUCAAGGUUGCUGGAAAAGAAAAUUGGGUUUGCAAACUGACAAAGUCGCUUUAUGGAUUGAAGCAAUCUCCGAGGCAGUGGUACAAGCGAUUUGAUCAGUUCAUGAAAGGGCAAAGGUACACAAGAAGUAAAUUUGAUCAUUGCGUGUAUUUUCAGAAGCUACAAGAAGGAACUUUCAUAUACUUGCUAUUAUAUGUUGAUGAUAUGCUAAUAGCAUCUAAGAGCAAAGUUGAGAUUGAAAGAUUGUAGACUCAACUCAAUCUCGAGUUUGAGAUGAAAGAUCUAGGAGAAGCUAAAAAGAUUCUCGGCAUGGAAAUAUGGAGAGAUAGAGCUCAUGAUAGAGUUAGCUUGUCUCAGAAACAGUAUUUGAAAAAGGUACUACAGCAGUUUGGCAUAAACGAGCAGACAAAACCUGUAAGUACCCCGUUGGCUUCUCAUUUCAAGCUUUCUGCACAACUAUCUCCUUCGACGAAUACGGAACGAGAAUACAUGUUGCAAGUUCCGUAUUCUAAUGCAGUGGGUAGCUUGAUGUAUGCAAUGGUGUGUACAAGACCCGACAUUUCACAGGCAGUUAGUAUAGUGAGCAGGUAUAUGCAUAAUCCUGGAAAAGGACAUUGGCAAGCUGUGAAAUGGAUUCUACGGUAUAUUCAGAAGACCGUAGAUGUUGGAUUACUGUUCAAGCAGGAUAAUACACUUGGUAAAGGUGUUAUUGGAUACGUUGAUUCUGACUAUGCCGGUGAUUUGGACAAGCGAAGAUCAACCACCGGUUAUGUGUUUACACUUGCUGGAGGACCAAUAAGUUGGAAGUCUACACUACAGUCUACAGUUGCGUUGUCAACCACAGAAGCCGAGUACAUGGCUGUAACAGAGGCUGUAAAGGAGGCUAUUUGGUUACAAGGUAUGGCUAAAACCUUGGGGUUGGUUCAGGAGCAUAUUAACGUGUAUUGUGAUAGUCAAAGUGCUAUUCAUUUAGCAAAGAAUCAAGUCUAUCAUGCACGUAUAAAACAUAUCGACGUACGAUUCCAUUUUGUGCAGGAAAUUAUUGAAGAGGGGAAAAUUUGUCUUCAGAAGAUCAAGACUGCAGAUAAUCCCGCAGAUAUGAUGACCAAGGUGGUAACAGCAACCAAGUUCGAACAUUGUUUGAACUUGAUCAAUAACCUGCAAGUUUAACAGUCGAAGAAGGCACUAUCAAGUAUUGUUGUCAAAGGCAAAAAGAAUUGUGUGAAGAUAAGAUUAUCCUAAUCAAAUCUUCAAGGUGGAGAUUAUUAGAAUAUAUCCCAUACCUUGCCCACACCUUUCCCAUACCUACCCAUACCUUGGAAAGGUCAAAGUUAUGGGCACCAAAUAUUUAUUUAGUGUUGGGCAUGGGAUAAUAGCAAUUUUUGGUCCCUAAGUGAAUAGGGACUUUGCAAGGUGGCCCUUGAAUCUCAACUAUAAAUAGGCCAACCAUUGCUCAUUCUCAUCAUCCCACAUUUGCCAUUCUCUACUUAAGGCAUUGUUCUCUCUCCCUAUUUGUAAAGUUUCACUUGUAUUUUGGAGUGAAAUAUAUUUGGUAGUGCCCGAGGACGUAGGCAAGAUUUGCCGAACCUCGUUAAAAUUUUGGUGUUCUUUACUAUUUAAUGUUCAUAUUUUGUGAGUGUGAUUGUAGUGAUUUAUUGUGCUAUUAAAUUACGAUAGAGGGAUAUUCUGGCUAGGAAAGACUUGGUACUUAAGUGAUCCUCGUGAUUCACCUCUCUUUCUUGGGAAUUGAACUUAGUGUGAUUUUUUAGUACAAAAAUUUUACUCUUUCACACGCUUCCGCGCAACACCUAUAAAUGCCUUAAAAAUGUAAAUUAAUAUUCCACAAUAAUUAUUAAGAUGAAAAGAAUUUUAUAAUCUAAACUUACGAUUUCAUGUGAAUUUAAUGUUUAGUUAUAGUUUUAAUUACAAAGUUAAAUUGGUAUCUUUGUUAUUGCAAUAAUUAAAAAAAGAUGAGUCCAAAUGAAGUUGAUUUUCUGUUUUUUAAAAGUGAAUGCAAGAUGGGACGGCUGUAAUUUUUUUUAUUAAACAGUAAGUAUGAAGCAGUUAUGGUAAUUGCUUGCUCCAUCUCACUCCACUCCACUAUAUAAAAUUACCAUUUCAUUCUUUUAUAUAUAGAAAAAAAUUAAAUAUUUUAUGAAAAUAAUCAUGUUUAAAUUUCCAAGAAUAAAAGCAAACUGAAGACUUAAAAUUUCCAUUAAUAAAACCAAAAUCAAAGAAGUAAAUUUUCCAUGAAUAAAACAAAAAAUGAAGAUCUAAAUUUUCCAUUAAUAAAGCCAAGUCAAGACUAAGUUUGUAUAAGUGUAAGAAGGGUAUAAAUGAAACUCACAAGAAAGUCACAUGAAGAAUUUUAUAACCCCAAACUACACGAUUUUAUGUCCACCUCUCACUUUUUAUAUUUUUUUGGCCAUUCGUUUUUCAAGAUUAACAUCAGCAUUCUUGUAGUCCGUUCAUCCUUUUCUAAUGAAUUUCCACCAAGAGUUUUAUUUUUCAAAAUGUUAAAUUAACUCAUGAUAUUAAUUAAAUCAAGAAAUUUUAUAAUAAUAGAGAUGAAAAAACUAAAUUUUUAAAAUCAAAACCUAAAAUGUGCAAGAAUAAAAGCAAACUGAAGACUUAAAAUCUCCAUUAAAAAAAUCAAAAUCAAAGAAGUAAAAUUUCCAUGAAUAAAACGAAAAAUGAAGACCUAAAAUUUCCAUUAAUAAAUCCAAGUCAAGACUAAGUUUGUAUAAGCGUAAGAAGGGUAUAAAUGAAACUCACAAGAAAGCCACAUUAAGAAUACACGAUUUUAUGUCCACCUCUCACUUUUCAGUUUUUUUGGUCAUUAGUUAUUCUAAGAUUUAACAUCAACAUUUGAUUUCAAAUCAAUGUUAAACCAUGUUUAAACUCUUUUUCUUAUAUAAUAAUUAUAUUAUAUUUAAAAUUGAAAAAACUAACCAACCAAAUAUAUAUUAAUUAAUUAAUAGAAUUUUUUUUGCUCAUCGAUUAAAAUAAAUCAAGAAAGACGUUGGAACCACCAACCUCUCUUUAAGAACAACAGGAAUACAAGAACCUAUGCACAACAAGUACUAAAAUGUAUUAAGUAAAUUCAUCACCAGGCCUUAAAAAAAGAAGAUCUCGAUAUACCUGCUUUUGCCAAAGCAUCUGCCAUACCAUUACUUUGCCAGUGAAUAAUUCUGAACUGAAACUUAGCCAAUUGAGUGAUAUUAAUUAUAGAAAUGGUUCUUCUUGCAACCAUAGAUGAAACACCACUGAGACUAACAAACUUGGAGAAACUUGAUUAAAUCAAACUUAUGCAAAUUUCUUGAAUAUUUAAGUUAAGAGUUAACGUCAAAGUCAAGAGUUGAUAAGGAUUUUGUGGUCCAUUCAUAUCUUUAUUACAAUAUAUAUAUAUUCAAGAAAUUUGCAGCAAGUUGGAGUUUUGUAAUAAGGAAUUUCCACCAAGAGUUUUGGAAUAAGGAAUUUCCUCCAAGAAUUUUGCAGGAAUCAUAUCUCUAACAAAAGAAAGACCUUCAUUUGACUAAAUUUUUUAGUAUUUAUUUUAACUUCCAUUUUAUUAAAAAAAAAACAGAGGUAAAAAAUAUGCCAAACAGGGUCUUUAGGUUACUUUUCUUAGAACUAUAUUAUGUUAUAGUACCGUAUAAGUUAGAGGAGCACAAGUUUAGAUUCAUCCAAUUUUUGAGGAAUUAAUUAAAUAUAUAUUAUUUUAAUAUUAUAGUGUACAGAGGCAAUGUUAGAAAAAAAUUUUGUGGAGUCGAAAUUAAAUUAUAGUUUUUACAAUAGUAAAAAAAUAAUUUCACUAUUUUAAAAGUAUAUAUCUUUAUAAUUUUUAAAGAAUUAAAUCAAAUUUUUAUCAAUUUUAGGGGGUCAAUGUGCAAUUUUAUCUUUACUAAUUUAAAAUUUUAAAACAUUUAAAGGACCUAAAUAGGAAUUUUUCUAUUUUAGAGGCGUCUGAGACGCCUGUCUAGCUAUGCCCCUGAUAGUGAAUUAGUGGGAUGCCAUAGGUCCUGCUUGUAUAUAAAUAAGAAGGUUAGGCUUCUUCAGAUUAUAUACAUAUAGAAGUUAAAAAUUAACAGACAACUGAGAGAGAAGAGAAAACAGAAAGAUGAUGAUGAUGAUGAUGAUGAUGGAGUGGAAAUGGUUAUGGUUUAUUAGGAUGGCAGUAAUGUUGUUGGUGUUCGAAGGAUGCAGGUGGUGUACUAUUGAUGCUUGUUUGGAGCACGAGAGGAUUGCUCUCUUGCAUCUCAAACCUUUCUUCAAUUCUCGUGAUGAAUUGAAAAGUUGGGUUGAGGUGAAGGGUUCAGAUUGCUGUAAAUGGGAAAGAGUUGAGUGCAACACCACCACUAGGAGACUCAUACAACUUUCCCUUA
Molecule: long non-coding RNA, 43199 nt
Filed under: Gossypium barbadense (sea-island cotton)
Lineage: Eukaryota; Viridiplantae; Streptophyta; Magnoliopsida; Malvales; Malvaceae
Description: long non-coding RNA (GBAR_LNC022923)
Source: RNAcentral